RNAcentral lists this non-coding RNA (171 nucleotides) under Bdellovibrionales bacterium RBG_16_40_8. Its description in RNAcentral is "6S RNA". It matches the Rfam family "6S / SsrS RNA". Rfam says of the family: E. coli 6S RNA was the first non coding RNA to be sequenced, but its function was unknown until recently. It consists of 184 nucleotides that fold into an extended hairpin structure with a large single-stranded internal bulge. The 6S RNA specifically associates with RNA polymerase holoenzyme containing the sigma70 specificity factor. Lineage: Bacteria; Pseudomonadati; Bdellovibrionota; Bdellovibrionia; Bdellovibrionales. The record is from RNAcentral.
AGUAUGCUUCUGUGGUCACUUGAAAUGGAACCCUACUGACAGAGAAUAGGGGGCUGUCCCUGGAGAUGGUGAGCAGGCUCACCUUGUAGUGAGAAGCCUAAAGUCUUCAUAUGGCCUACCACACUGAUUUAACAUGGGUUCACAGUCAUUGCUGAUCACAGAAGUUUUUUU